GGGGAAGCCACUAGCUACAGAUGCUGGAGAAUUUGGGCUGGUUUCUUCUGCAUUUUAACAAUCCCUGGGGCUUUCUUUGGUUCUUUCUUUAUUUGAGUGAGGUUGAGAUCAUCUUUCUAUCAUGUCUCUGCAUUCAGUGAUAUCCAUAUUUAUCCAUGUUUGAAAAGACACAGACAUCAAUCUGGGUCUUACUCUGUCACGCAGGAUGGAGGCUGGAGUCCAAUGGCACAAUUGCAGCUCACUGCACCCUCAAACUCCUGGGCUCAAGGGGGCCUCCCAUCUUACCCUCCCGGAUAGCUGGGACUACAGGCGUGCACCAUCAUACCUGGCUAAUUUUUAGUAUUUUUUGUAGAGACGGGGUUUCUCCAUGUUGGCAAGGCUGGUCUUGAAAUCCUAGGUUCAAGCAAUUCUCCUGCCUCAGCCUCCCAAACUGUUGGGAUUACAGGUGUGAGCCACUGUGCCCAGCCUGCUGCUUUUUUAGAAAGAGGAGAGAAGGAUGGUCUAAAACUCCCAUUUUUUCUUGUCAUUCACCUGGCAACUCAGAGUCAGGAGGAAGAUGGGAGCUUUGAAGUGAGGUUCUGCUGCCCCACCCUGAGUUCCUCAGGGGUCACCUUCAUCUCACCCUUCCCAUUAGUUCCAAGUCCCCAGACUGAAGACAGCAGUUCCUGGAGUCAGUUCUCAAAAGAUGUCUUUACAGCAUCCAUGUCCCACAAGCCCAUAGCCUGGUGACCAUGGUCUUCAACCCACAAUUGGUGCUGUUGAUGCUGUCAAUGCAGAAUUGAAGACAGAGAACCAGAGAUUUUUAAGUCAGAAGCAUGCUUCAGAAGUUUUAGUUUGUAACUAUUGUUUAUUUCUGGAAAUCAUUUGGAAGAUAUUAUUUUACUUUUUGUCUCUCCCAAUUCCAAAUUGUUUGCAUUAUAAUUUUCUUUAAACCGGAAAAUAAAAUCAUAAUUUUAGAAAAGUG
This 964-nucleotide long non-coding RNA is filed under the name Homo sapiens (human). Its description in RNAcentral is "HSALNT0346593". Lineage: Eukaryota; Metazoa; Chordata; Mammalia; Primates; Hominidae. The record is from RNAcentral.